CCUACGGGAGGCAGCAGUAGGGAAUCUUCGGCAAUGGACGAAAGUCUGACCGAGCAACGCCGCGUGAGUGAUGAAGGUUUUCGGAUCGUAAAACUCUGUUGUUAGAGAAGAACAAGUACCGUUUGAAUAAGGCGGUACCUUGACGGUACCUAACGAGAAAGCCCCGGCUAACUACGUGCCAGCAGCCGCGGUAAUACGUAGGGGGCAAGCGUUGUCCGGAAUUAUUGGGCGUAAAGCGCGCGCAGGCGGUCUCUUAAGUCUGAUGUGAAAGCCCACGGCUCAACCGUGGAGGGCCAUUGGAAACUGGGAGACUUGAGUGUAGGAGAGGAAAGUGGAAUUCCACGUGUAGCGGUGAAAUGCGUAGAGAUGUGGAGGAACACCAGUGGCGAAGGCGACUUUCUGGCCUAUAACUGACGCUGAGGCGCGAAAGCGUGGGGAG
RNAcentral lists this ribosomal RNA (439 nucleotides) under uncultured Bacillus sp. Its description in RNAcentral is "bacterial SSU rRNA". It matches the Rfam family "Bacterial small subunit ribosomal RNA", at positions 338 to 768 of the family's 1533-position model. Lineage: Bacteria; Bacillati; Bacillota; Bacilli; Caryophanales; Bacillaceae. The record is from RNAcentral.